AUUGAACGCUGGCGGCAUGCCUUACACAUGCAAGUCGAACGGCAGCGGGGGAGAAGCUUGCUUUUCCUGCCGGCGAGUGGCGAACGGGUGAGUAAUACAUCGGAACGUGCCCUGUAGUGGGGGAUAACUAGUCGAAAGAUUAGCUAAUACCGCAUACGACCUGAGGGUGAAAGUGGGGGACCGCAAGGCCUCAUGCUAUAGGAGCGGCCGAUGUCUGAUUAGCUAGUUGGGGGGGUAAAGGCCUACCAAGGCGACGAUCAGUAGCUGGUCUGGGAGGGCGGACAGCCAAAAUGGGACUGAGACACGGCCCAGACUCCUACGGGAGGCAGCAGUGGGGAAUUUUGGACAAUGGGCGAAAGCCUGAUCCAGCAAUGCCGCGUGUGUGAAGAAGGCCUUCGGGUUGUAAAGCACUUUUGUCCGGAAAGAAAUGGCUCUGGUUAAUACCUGGGGUCGAUGACGGUACCGGAAGAAUAAGGACCGGCUAACUACGUGCCAGCCGCCGCGGUAA
Molecule: ribosomal RNA, 508 nt
Filed under: uncultured bacterium
Lineage: Bacteria
Description: partial 16S ribosomal RNA
Rfam family: Bacterial small subunit ribosomal RNA
Source: RNAcentral